This 496-nucleotide ribosomal RNA is filed under the name uncultured bacterium. RNAcentral describes it as "bacterial SSU rRNA". It matches the Rfam family "Bacterial small subunit ribosomal RNA", at positions 28 to 524 of the family's 1533-position model. The record is from RNAcentral.
GAUGAACGCUAGCGGCAGGCCUAAUACAUGCAAGUCGAACGGUAAAUAUUUAGCAAUAGAUAUGAGAGUGACGUACGGGUGCGUAACACGUAUGCAACCUACCCUUUACAGGCGGAUAGCUCGGGGAAACUCGAAUUAACCCGCCGUAAUAUAAUUGAAUGGCAUCAUUUGAUUAUUAAAUCUACGGAGGUAAAGGAUGGGCAUGCGUCUGAUUAGUUAGUUGGCGGGUAACGGCCCACCAAGACGAUGAUCAGUAGGGGAACUGAGAGGUUGAUCCCCCCACACUGGCACUGAGAUACGGGCCAGACUCCUACGGGAGGCAGCAGUAGGGAAUAUUGGUCAAUGGAUGGAAGUCUGAACCAGCCAUGCCGCGUGCAGGAAGAAGGCCUUCUGGGUUGUAAACUGCUUUUGCCAGGGGAUAAAAUGACCUUGCGAGGUUAAUGAAGGUACCUGGUGAAUAAGCCACGGCUAACUACGUGCCAGCAGCCGCGGUAAU